CUUCGCGCGCCCGCACCCAAUCACCUGUGUCUCACCCCACUCCCACCCCAGCCGCCAAACGAACCCUAGCCCUCUUUCUCCUUCCCCUCGAUCCCGACGAGCCGCCGCACCCCUCCCUCGAUCCCCAGUUCCCCACGAUCCUCUCCUUGCCCGCAGCCACCGGCCUUGUCUCUCCACUCGCCUCCUCCUUUCCUCUACCAUGUCGUCGUCGAUCCCACCGCUGGCCUUCUCCUCUGCUUGCCUCCUCCGGUCCUCUUCCAUGUCACCGUUGAUCCAGAUCGGACCCUCUCCUUGCGCGCCCCGUGUUCCUCCUUCCAGCCGAUUGGGCACAGCUGCACCAACCCUAGCCCCCGAUGCAGCCAUCCACUCCUCCCUCCUCCUCUCCCCUCCCCCUCCCACAGCCACCGCACCCGUUGCUUGGCCCCCUGGCGACGCCCGGGUCGGGGCUGGGAAGAAGGUCCGGGCCUGCGAGGGAAAGCAGCGAGGGUUGGUGCAGCGGCAAAUGCGGGCGGGAUUUGCAUGGAGGGAGGCUCGUCAGCCGGAACAACAGGAGCAAGGAGGUCGUGCAGGCGCGAAUGCUGGCGGGGUCGGCCGUGGAAGAAGGCUCGCUGGACGGAGCAUCAACAGCAGGGAAGUCGAGGUGGUUCAGGUUUGCCUCUAUCUCCUCCCCACUCUAUCUCUGCCCUCUCUCUUAUUUUCCCCUUUGUCUCGUGGAUAAGGGCGUCAGUGCACCACGAGGAGUAGAUCGAGCGUGGACCAUAGCAGCACGAUCAAGGAGCUGCUGGUGGUUCUGGCAACAACGAGGAUGAUCAAGAAGGAUUGGGGAACACCCGCAAAAAAAGUACUUGGGAAGAAGGGCGGGACGAAGGCAUGGAGAUCGUUGUUUGGCGCCAACGUGUGUUUGGUGUUGAUUGCUGGCUGGCUGACUGCGGUGUGCUACCGGCGAUGAGAUCCAGGAGGAGGUGGCGGCGGACAGGGAGUCGAGGACCUUUUUGCUUGCAUUCUCGUGUCUUUUGACAAGGAGAAAAUUAUCAUUUGGAGGGGAAAAGACAGAUGAAAACAUGCAAGAUAGUAUAUGCAAUUAACAUACCCUUCAAUUCUUGAAUCAGAGUUCAGUGGUGAAGAACACUACAAUUUUUUGGUUGAUGGAUUGGUCUGAAUAUAUUGUAAGGGAUUUUGCAUGAAGUGGUUAUUCAAAGAAUGGAACCAAUUUUAUGUGAAAAAUACUAUGAUUAAAGCAUACACGAUUUUACUGAAUGGAUAUGGUAUAACCUCCAUGAUAUUUGAGUGGACUAGAAUCAAGACGCCCUGAGAAUUUUACCCUUCGAUGAACAAUGCAAGAUUUUGCCUAUUCUCUAAGAUGGAUGAUGAUGAGCGGUUCAACCGAAAAUUCAGAGCUGGGCUUUACACAAUUCAGUGGGUCCUGUGUGGUGGGGCUAGUGGUGUGGCCAGUGAAGUAUGGGUACAGUCUGCUGGAGUCGGUCCUACGUUUUGUGUCACUGGUUGUACAACCAAUAUAAGUGGGGUGUUGUCUGGUUUCUCCGACAUCACCACGUUUUUUAAGGACUUUGCUGGUGCUCCUUCAGGUUCGGCAAUCACCCUUUUUUUUUUUGAUGUCUGAUGCACAAGAACAACAUUUGAGUGGAAAAACAUGGUAUGA
Triticum urartu is the source of this 1660-nucleotide non-coding RNA. Lineage: Eukaryota; Viridiplantae; Streptophyta; Magnoliopsida; Poales; Poaceae. The record is from RefSeq and is a predicted model, not a curated record.